RNAcentral lists this ribosomal RNA (442 nucleotides) under uncultured bacterium. RNAcentral describes it as "partial 16S ribosomal RNA". It matches the Rfam family "Bacterial small subunit ribosomal RNA", at positions 338 to 795 of the family's 1533-position model. The record is from RNAcentral.
CCUACGGGGGGCAGCAGUGGGGGAUAUUGCACAAUGGGGGAAACCCUGAUGCAGCGACGCCGCGUGGGUGAAGAAGUAUUUCGGUAUGUAAAGCCCUAUCAGCAGGGAAGAAGAAAUGACGGUACCUGAGUAAGAAGCACCGGCUAUAGACGUGCCAGCAGCCGCGGUAAUACGUAGGGUGCAAGCGUUCUCCGGAUGUAGUGGGUGUAAAGGGAGCGCAGGCGGCACGGCAAGCCUGAUGUGAAAGCCCGCGGCCUAACCGCGGAACUGCAUUGGGAACUGCCGGGCUGGAGUGCCGGAGAGGUAGGCGGAAUUCCUAGUGUAGCGGUGAAAUGCGUAGAUAUUAGGAGGAACACCAGUGGCGAAGGCGGCUUACUGGACGGUGACUGACGCUGAGGCUCGAAAGCGUGGGGAGCGAACAGGAUUAGAUACCCGUGUAGUC